RNAcentral lists this ribosomal RNA (576 nucleotides) under uncultured bacterium. RNAcentral's name for it is "partial 16S ribosomal RNA". It matches the Rfam family "Bacterial small subunit ribosomal RNA", at positions 355 to 1375 of the family's 1533-position model. The record is from RNAcentral.
UGGGGAAUUUUGGUCAAUGGGCGAGAGCCUGAACCAGCCAAGUCGCGUGAAGGAAGACUGCCUUAUGGGUUGUAAACUUCUUUUAUACAGGAAUAAAAAGGCUUACGUGUAGGCCAUUGCAAGUACUGUAUGAAUAAGCAUCGGCUAACUCCGUGCCAGCAGCCGCGGUAAUACGGAGGAUGCGGGCGUUAUCCGGAUUUAUUGGGUUUAAAGGGUGCGCAGGCGGGCUUUUAAGUCAGCGGUGAAAUCUGGACGCUUAACGUCCAAACUGCCGUUGAAACUGGGAGUCUUGAGUAUGGAUGAAGUAGGCGGAAUUCGUUGUGUAGCGGUGACAUGCAUAGAUAUAACGAGGAACUCCGAUUGCGUAGGCAGCUUACUAAGCCUAACUGACGCUCAUGCACGAAAGCGUGGGGAUCAAACAGGAUUAGAUACCCUGGUAGUCCACGCCGUAAACGAUGAUUACUAGUUGUAUGCGAUAUGAUAGUAUGUGACUAAGCGAAAGCGAUAAGUAAUCCACCUGGGAGUACGCCGGCAACGUGAAACUUAAAUGAAUUGACGGGGUCAUAGCUGUUUCCU